This 1333-nucleotide long non-coding RNA is filed under the name Homo sapiens (human). Its description in RNAcentral is "LHRI_LNC1124.1". The record is from RNAcentral. Lineage: Eukaryota; Metazoa; Chordata; Mammalia; Primates; Hominidae.
GGGCGAGGCAGGAAGAGUACGUGGGGCCGAGGGGGGCGAGCGCUGGGCCGCCCGCAGCCGGAGAGUGUCGCCCCUCCUGAAGGCCCUGGGCAGGUGAAAUGAGGACCAGCGCUGACAAAGGGCAGGAUGCAGAAGACUCCUGACUUUGGAUCUCAGAUCACCCUCGGAAGCUCCGAUUCGGAUCCGCGUCCACAGACCCGGCGACCUCAGACAGACCGGGCGUCCGGGGAAGAGGCGGCGGCAGUGAGCACCGCAGUGAGGAAACCAGGCUCCGGCGAUCCCCAGGCCUUACGCCCGACCCCAGGGCAUUUGGGAGCAGGUCUGCGUCCGGGACCAGCACACUCUGGACGGGAGCUCUGCCUUUCUGGGGUCCUCCAGCUGAAGGAUGUGAGUUGCAAGAAACCCAUUCUGUAGACCUCGAAAUCAGCGGGGAGCCCCAGGCACUUGUGGGGGGACUUUGAUGUGGCUCCCACGCAUCCACCCGGCACCGCGUGGAUUGCCAGGGGCAGGACGAGCUUGAGUGGACGCUGGGUUCGCUGAGCCCCCCAGAGGCUCCUCGCCCUGGGUCACCUGUGCCGCCUUGGACCACCCAGAGAAACCUUUCCUCCCACCAGGUGAGCCGCAGGCCAGGCGCCAGGCCUGAGUGUGCCCGGGACGGGGAUUUCUCUGUGAACGGCCCAUCAUCCCAUAAUAUCCACGUUGUCUUAGCCUCAUGUUCUGAAGAAACACGAAUUUCAUACACAAGCGUGGAUUUUUGCAUGUUUUAAAUUGUAAAUGCGACUAACUCCAAGGAAGUUGGAACUUGAAGCAGGCUCAAAGCAAACUUAGUCGCGUCAUCCGCCACCAUCCUCCAGGGUAAACCGAGGAGCACAGUUAAUUGGUUUUCCACGGGUAUUUGCCACUUGUCAGAUGGGCUGUUAUGGACGUAACCACGUAAUUCCUGGAACCCAGUGAGAGUCAGCUUCCUUUACGGGCGUCUGACAAGAUGUGCUCAAACACCUUGAAGAUCUUUAUGGAAACAACUUUUGGCUCUUUAUCAAGAUGUCAUUCAGGGCUCUGAACAGUCGAAUACGUUGUGGAUGGGUUUGCUGUAGUUAUACAGUGUGCAUUUGAUACUUGUCAAUAGCGCUAGUAAUGUUAUUGCAAAAAUAAAACCUUCUUUAAAAAAGAGGCCGGGCGCGGUGGCUCACGCCUGUAAUCCCAGCACUUUGGGGAGGCUCAGGCAGGUGGAUCACGAGGUCAGGAGAUGGAGACCAUCCUGGCUAACAUGGCGAAACCCCGUCUCUAGUAAAAAUACAAAAAAUUAGCCGGGCGUGGUGGCGGGCGCCUGUAG